AUUGAACGCUGGCGGCAGGCCUAACACAUGCAAGUCGAGCGGAUGAAGGGAGCUUGCUCCUGGAUUCAGCGGCGGACGGGUGAGUAAUGCCUAGGAAUCUGCCUGGUAGUGGGGGAUAACGUCCGGAAACGGGCGCUAAUACCGCAUACGUCCUGAGGGAGAAAGUGGGGAUCUUCGGACCUCACGCUAUCAGAUGAGCCUAGGUCGGAUUAGCUAGUUGGUGGGGUAAAGGCCUACCAAGGCGACGAUCCGUAACUGGUCUGAGAGGAUGAUCAGUCACACUGGAAUUGAGACACGGUCCAGACUCCUACGGGAGGCAGCAGUGGGGAAUAUUGGACAAUGGGCGAAAGCCUGAUCCAGCCAUGCCGCGUGUGUGAAGAAGGUCUUCGGAUUGUAAAGCACUUUAAGUUGGGAGGAAGGGCAGUAAGUUAAUACCUUGCUGUUUUGACGUUACCAACAGAAUAAGCACCGGCUAACUUCGUG
This 483-nucleotide ribosomal RNA is filed under the name uncultured bacterium. RNAcentral describes it as "partial 16S ribosomal RNA". It matches the Rfam family "Bacterial small subunit ribosomal RNA", at positions 30 to 507 of the family's 1533-position model. The record is from RNAcentral.